Molecule: ribosomal RNA, 229 nt
Filed under: Clostridioides difficile
Lineage: Bacteria; Bacillati; Bacillota; Clostridia; Peptostreptococcales; Peptostreptococcaceae
Description: partial 23S ribosomal RNA
Rfam family: Bacterial large subunit ribosomal RNA
Source: RNAcentral
UUGGGGUUGCGGACAUAUCAUAACGAAGAGGUAUCGUAAUUGAAGAGGUUUGGAAAGACCCACCACAGAAGGUAAUAGUCCUGUAUGUUAAACGAGAAGACGUUAGAUAUGAUCCAGAGUACCACGGGACACGUGAAACCCUGUGGGAAGCAGGAGGGACCACCCUCCAAGGCUAAAUACUACCUAGUGACCGAUAGCGUAUAGUACCGUGAGGGAAAGGUGAAAAGAA